This 90-nucleotide transfer RNA is filed under the name Candidatus Saccharimonadota bacterium. RNAcentral's name for it is "tRNA-Ser". It matches the Rfam family "tRNA". Rfam says of the family: Transfer RNA (tRNA) molecules are approximately 80 nucleotides in length. Their secondary structure includes four short double-helical elements and three loops (D, anti-codon, and T loops). Lineage: Bacteria; Candidatus Saccharimonadota. The record is from RNAcentral. RNAcentral also lists the same sequence under 1 other name.
GGAGAGGUGUCCGAGUGGUUGAAGGAGCACGCUUGGAAAGCGUGUAAGGUCGCAAGGCUUUCGCAGGUUCGAAUCCUGUCCUCUCCGCCA